This 75-nucleotide transfer RNA is filed under the name Klebsiella aerogenes. RNAcentral describes it as "tRNA-Val". It matches the Rfam family "tRNA". Rfam says of the family: Transfer RNA (tRNA) molecules are approximately 80 nucleotides in length. Their secondary structure includes four short double-helical elements and three loops (D, anti-codon, and T loops). Lineage: Bacteria; Pseudomonadati; Pseudomonadota; Gammaproteobacteria; Enterobacterales; Enterobacteriaceae. The record is from RNAcentral.
CGUGAUUAGCUCAGCUGGGAGAGCACCUCCCUUACAAGGAGGGGGUCGGCGGUUCGAUCCCGUCAUCACCCACCA